CUCUCCUAUCACCUCCAUUACAGCGGCCACACCCUGUCUACCAGUCCCCGGCAACCUCCAAUGAUGAAUUGAAUUCUACGGUCAACACUGGAGCCAGCCUUGAAAGAAUGAGGAAAGAAAGGAUGCCGUGCAGGGUCAUUUCAGCCCAUGUGGAUGUACCUGGCGGAUUCUGCACAGAGCCAGAAGACCAGCAAGACGGGAGGAAAUGAAUACAGAGUCAGGGUAAAAUGGAUCACAUAGCUUGAAAAGGCCAGAUGGUCUAGCAUCUUGUGGGUCAUGAUGCUUUUAUUCCCAGCAAAAUGGGAAGGCAUCUCUGGGUUUUGAGGGAAGAAUUACACGAUCUGACCUAUGU
Molecule: long non-coding RNA, 352 nt
Organism: Microtus oregoni (creeping vole)
Lineage: Eukaryota; Metazoa; Chordata; Mammalia; Rodentia; Cricetidae
Exons: 3
Source: RefSeq, a predicted model, not a curated record